This 463-nucleotide ribosomal RNA is filed under the name uncultured bacterium. RNAcentral describes it as "bacterial SSU rRNA". It matches the Rfam family "Bacterial small subunit ribosomal RNA", at positions 30 to 486 of the family's 1533-position model. The record is from RNAcentral.
AUUGAACGCUGGCGGAAUGCUUUACACAUGCAAGUCGAACGGCAGCACGGGGGCAACCCUGGUGGCGAGUGGCGAACGGGUGAGUAAUACAUCGGAACGUGCCCAGUCGUGGGGGAUAACGUAGCGAAAGCUACGCUAAUACCGCAUACGAUCUACGGAUGAAAGCGGGGGAUCGCAAGACCUCGCGCGAUUGGAGCGGCCGAUGGCAGAUUAGGUAGUUGGUGGGGUAAAGGCUCACCAAGCCUUCGAUCUGUAGCUGGUCUGAGAGGACGACCAGCCACACUGGGACUGAGACACGGCCCAGACUCCUACGGGAGGCAGCAGUGGGGAAUUUUGGACAAGUGGGCGAAAGCCUGAUCCAGCCAUUCCGCGUGCAGGAUGAAGGCCCUCGGGUUGUAAACUGCUUUUGUACGGAACGAACGGCCUUUUCUAAUACAGAGGGCUAAUGACGGUACCGUGAGAA